This 376-nucleotide ribosomal RNA is filed under the name uncultured bacterium. Its description in RNAcentral is "bacterial SSU rRNA". It matches the Rfam family "Bacterial small subunit ribosomal RNA", at positions 523 to 898 of the family's 1533-position model. The record is from RNAcentral.
AUACGUAGGUGGCGAACGUUAUCCGGAAUCACUGGGCGUAAAGGGUCCGCAGGUGGCAUGUCAAGUCGAUUGUGAGAGCUCCCGGCUCAACUGGGAGAGGACGGUCGAAACUGGCAAACUAGAGUCCGACAGAGGUCGGCGGAAUUCCCGGUGUAGUGGUGGAAUGCGUAGAUAUCGGGAGGAACGCCAAAAGCGAAAGCAGCCGGCUGGGUCGAGACUGACACUGAGGGACGAAAGCGUGGGGAGCGAACAGGAUUAGAUACCCUGGUAGUCCACGCCGUAAACGAUGUGUGCUAGCUGUGCGUUGCGUAGUGCAAUGCGUGGCUGAGCCAACGCGAUAAGCACACCGCCUGGGGAGUACGGCCGCAAGGCUAAA